RNAcentral lists this ribosomal RNA (308 nucleotides) under uncultured bacterium. RNAcentral's name for it is "bacterial SSU rRNA". It matches the Rfam family "Bacterial small subunit ribosomal RNA", at positions 626 to 932 of the family's 1533-position model. The record is from RNAcentral.
UUGGAAACUGAUUUACUUGAGUGCGAUAGAGGCAAGUGGAACUCCAUGUGUAGCGGUGAAAUGCGUAGAUAUGUGGAAGAACACCAGUGGCGAAAGCGGCUUGCUAGAUCGUAACUGACGUUGAGGCUCGAAAGUAUGGGUAGCAAACGGGAUUAGAUACCCCGGUAGUCCAUACCGUAAACGAUGGGUGCUAGUUGUUAAGAGGUUUCCGCCUCCUAGUGACGUAGCAAACGCAUUAAGCACCCCGCCUGAGGAGUACGGCCGCAAGGCUAAAACUUAAAGGAAUUGACGGGGACCCGCACAAGCGG